CCUACGGGGUGCAGCAGUCGAGAAUCAUUCACAAUGGGGGAAACCCUGAUGGUGCGACGCCGCGUGGGGGAAUGAAGGUCUUCGGAUUGUAAACCCCUGUCAUGUGGGAGCAAAUGAAAAAGAUAGUACCACAAGAGGAAGAGACGGCUAACUCUGGGCCAGCAGCCGCGGUAAUACAGAGGUCUCAAGCGUUGUUGGGAAUCACUGGGCGUAAAGGGUGCGUAGGCUGGUUCGUUAGUCGUGUGGGAAAGGCGCGGGCUCAAACCGCGGACGGCACAAGAAACUGCGGGUCUGGAGUGAGGCGGGGGGAAGCGGAAUGCGCGGUGUAGCGGUGAAAUGCAUAGAUAGCGGGGAGAAC
This 358-nucleotide ribosomal RNA is filed under the name uncultured bacterium. RNAcentral describes it as "partial 16S ribosomal RNA". It matches the Rfam family "Bacterial small subunit ribosomal RNA", at positions 338 to 707 of the family's 1533-position model. The record is from RNAcentral.